Xiphias gladius (swordfish) is the source of this 2443-nucleotide long non-coding RNA. RefSeq lists it as uncharacterized. The transcript is spliced from 5 exons. NCBI's taxonomy places the organism in Eukaryota, Metazoa, Chordata, Actinopteri, Istiophoriformes, Xiphiidae. The record is from RefSeq and is a predicted model, not a curated record.
AACAAUGAAUCCUGAGCACAGGCCACGAAAAGCCGACUCAUCCGAAAGGUAGCGGUUUCUUGAAGAGGUUGUGGAGUUUGCAUCAGAAGCCUUCUGGGUUGUUGAAGUUCCAGGUCUCGGCCACAGAGCCUCGUAGUCUGACGCGUUGCAGACUUAGGAGUUUUGAAAGUUUCAGGCACUGAUAAAGUUUCCGAGGUUAUUGACGAGGUUCCGCUGGUUGAUCGAGGGGAUUCCAGGGGUUAAUGAGGAGUUUCACAGAUGUUUGAGAUUUCAUGGGCUGAUCGGGGAGUUUAAAGUUUUCAGCCACUCCAGGGGAGUUGGUUGUCAGUGGGAUCAGCAGCACUAUCGACCAUCUGCUACUCCACUCAUUUAUACUUACACUCCGAUGAUAUUGUCAGACUCACAAUGGACAAUGGACAGUUUAAAAAAAAAGAUGCAGCAAAUCCAGAGAUACCGGCUUUUUUACUCAACGCAUUCUGCUUUCUUGUCGAAACCUGGCGCCUACAUUGCCCACAAUGCACCUGUUCCUCUGAGAGUUGGGUGCUAGAUUGGGGUGCGUUACACUAGUAGCGUCUAAUGUAGCUUGCAGCCUGUAGCCUGCAGCAGCGAUGAGGAGCGGGCUGCAGAGGUUUGCUAAGCAACACCUGGAAACCACACGGUCGUUCAUCGAUCUGAUCAACAACUAAACUGAGUUGAGGUCAUGUUUCCGUCGCCAGUAAUAUGUGAAAACACAGCAGGGAAACACGGUGGUUGACUUCUUACGAUAACAUUUUGGCUUUUACUUUGAAAUGAACUCCAAACUCAGAGCAGCAGUCUCUUAUUUUCUCAAAGACACAUUCAAACAAAGCUUUAUUCGAACUGCACUCUCACAUUCACCCUCUUAUAUUUUGAAAUCCCGUUUUCCGUCAGUCAGUGUAACAGAGUCUUUACCGUGAAGCUCUGUCAGCUCAGAGGUCAUGCUCAGUGGUGACAUCGGCAGUGACGUCAUGACACUCUUCAACACGCUGGGUCAUCUCCACGGAGACGGCCGGUCUAGUUCCUGUGGGCGGAGCGAAGAAGUUCAGGCGGAGGUAUAAAAUUUCGUUAUUGAAGUUUGUGCGUGUGUUAGCUACCUGUCUUCCUGCUGCAGCAGCUCGACACCAUCGGGACGCUGCAGAUGCAGUACGGACAGAUGACCACUAGAUGGCAGAGGAGUCUGAGUACAGACACAGAGGGAGGAGGGGAGGUGUAGACGGAGAACAGGUUGCAGGAGGAGGAUCAGUAGGAGGAGCUGUGGACAGGUGGCGAAACCGAAAGGUGAGUUAAAGAUAAACAGGAAGAUCUAGUCUUGUUACAGAAUCGGGACAAAUUUCUAUUUCACAACACGUAUGAGUCCGUUAGCAUAACCAGACGCACACCUGGGAGUCUGUCGUUGUCUCUACCUGGACCGUAUAACCACAGCAUUUUAACAGAAACAAGCAUUUUGGUGAGCAGAAGUCGAAGGCGUCCUCACCUGCUAUCGAACUCCACAGCAUAGCAGCUGUAGACACCUUCGUGAGACUCUUGGACAUCACUGCCGGUGAAUUCCGGGGGGGGGAUCUAGAACCCACCCUGUACGUCGCGUGACGGGACCUGAACUGUGAAGUCACAUCAUUUCCUGGCAUCACGGGCAGAGCAGGGAUCUCCAGGACCACAUGGUCUGAACAACAGAAGGACAGGACACACAAACAGAGCCACAGGGUUAUUCUGGAACCAUGUUGGACUUACUGAUGUGGACUCUUUGAGCUGGACUGCUACCGGCGCAGUGACCCGGUUUACCUGACGUAGAAGCUGCGGUUGGCUCUCAAACUCCCGGACGAGCUGUUCAUCAUCUGCUCCCUCAGGUCGUGGAUCUUCGCUUCAAAACGACUGUACUCUGCACACAAUAUCACCAUGUCUGUCCGGCGUUCUUCAGAGCUGCUGCUGCCUGUUCAUGUGUCGCAUACCUGAGGUCCACGCCGUUCACCUGGACACACACACACGGAGAAACAGACAGAAUAUCUGACUGCCUUCCACGUGAGCGGCCUCCAGCUUGGCACCGGCAUAUCGGGACGCUUCAUGUCACGCUACUGGAUCCUUUUGAAUGUUCACCUAAUCUGGAAAUAAUCAGCGUUACAUCCAGACAGCUGAAGUGAUACAACAGCACUUCUGAACACUUCAGGUGUCAGAUCCUCGGUGGAUGUAAAGAUCCGAUGUCCUGCACUCACACUGAGGAUCCGGUCUCCUGUACUCACACUGAGGAUCUGGUCUCCCUUCCGGAGCUCUCCGCUCAGGUCUGCUGGUCCUCCUGCGAGGAUGAAGGAGAUGAAGAUUCCCUCUCCGUCCUCUCCGCCGACGAUGUUGAAGCCCAGACCGGUAGACCCACGCUGCACACAGACUCUGCGAGGCUCCCGGGAGUAGUCGUCCUCUCCCAUCAUGCCACGGG